UAACGCGUGGGUAACCUGCCUCAUACAGGGGGAUAACAGUUGGAAAUGACUGCUAAUACCGCAUAAGCGCACAGUGCUGCAUGGCACAGUGUGAAAAACUCCGGUGGUAUGAGAUGGACUCGCGUCUGAUUAGCUAGUUGGUGGGGUAACGGCCUACCAAGGCGACGAUCAGUAGCCGGCCUGAGAGGGUGAACGGCCACAUUGGGACUGAGACACGGCCCAA
This 223-nucleotide ribosomal RNA is filed under the name uncultured bacterium. RNAcentral's name for it is "partial 16S ribosomal RNA". It matches the Rfam family "Bacterial small subunit ribosomal RNA", at positions 111 to 334 of the family's 1533-position model. The record is from RNAcentral.